UGAACGCUGGCGGCGUGCCUAAUACAUGCAAGUCGAGCGAACGGACGAGAAGCUUGCUUCUCUGAUGUUAGCGGCGGACGGGUGAGUAACACGUGGAUAACCUACCUAUAAGACUGGGAUAACUUCGGGAAACCGGAGCUAAUACCGGAUGAUAUUUUGAACCGCAUGGUUCAAAAGUGAAAGACGGUCUUGCUGUCACUUAUAGAUGGAUCCGCGCUGCAUUAGCUAGUUGGUAAGGUAACGGCUUACCAAGGCAACGAUGCAUAGCCGACCUGAGAGGGUGAUCGGCCACACUGGAACGGAGCCGCGGUCCAGACUCCUGCGGGAGGCAGCAGGAGGGAAUCUUCCGCAAGGGGCGAAGGCCUGAGGGAGCAACGCCGCGGGGGUGAUGAAGGUCUUCGGAUCGUAAAACUGUGUUAUAAGGGAAAAAAAUAUGUGUAAGUAACUGUGCACAUCUGGACGGUCCCUAACAAGAAAGCCCCGGCUAACUACGUG
This 495-nucleotide ribosomal RNA is filed under the name uncultured bacterium. RNAcentral's name for it is "partial 16S ribosomal RNA". It matches the Rfam family "Bacterial small subunit ribosomal RNA", at positions 30 to 507 of the family's 1533-position model. The record is from RNAcentral.